GCCCACUCUCUGUCCCUUUACAGUUUGUUCGCUGUCCAGGCAGCUGACCUGUAUGGGCAUCACCAACGAGCUCCUUUGUCUUGUGGCUUCAAUGUGGGUUAAGACAAUGGAGAGCCCCAGCAGGAGACCAGAGGGAGAAGGGCGGGAAAGGUCAGCCUGACACAUUUUUGUUGAAUCAAUUGACAAAAGAACUGACACCAGAUGGCCAAUCAACUCAAGAGAAAGAUUGCUUGGGUUGCUAUGAGGAAGAGGAGGAGUAAGGCCUGAUGUGGAAAGACCUUUGAGAAGAUGUUGAAAUGAGGCAGAGGAGGAGCUAGGCCUGAUGUGGAAAGACCCUUGAGAAGGCUCCUGCAGUGAUCCAGGUCCAGCUUUGAAGAAAAGUAUUUUUGUAUAAAUUUUGUGUAGCCCAAGUAUACAGUGUUGAUAAAAUCUACAGUAGUGUAGUCGUGUCCUGGGGCCUCACAUUCACUCACCACUCACUGACUCACCCAGAGCAACUGCCAGUCCUGCAAGUUCCAC
Molecule: long non-coding RNA, 519 nt
Filed under: Homo sapiens (human)
Lineage: Eukaryota; Metazoa; Chordata; Mammalia; Primates; Hominidae
Description: HSALNT0219998
Source: RNAcentral